AUGUGGAUCUUCCUUGCUAAUCAGUUGUGUUUAGCUUGCAACGAUUUCAAUUUGUUGUUUAUCCUGUUAGUUUGGAAAUGUUUCAGCUGCAUUUUGAAUUUUCUCUUUAUUUUGUUAGUUUUCUGGUGAUACUGAUUUUGAGGAAGCUUGCUAAAUCUGGUUUUGUGGAAGAUUUUAGUCUGGCUUGUUUUUGGUGUUGUUACUCUACACAACCUUUUUUCAUCAGCUAUUUGGUAUUGUCAGUUUUUCCUUUUGGUUUUGGAGAUUUUUAUGUUUUCUCUUCUGUUUUGAGGAUACAUUUUGUCUUUUCUGUGCUUUUAUACUUUAUUGUCAAUAGUGUUUUAUUUCUAUUUUAGAAAAUUGACCUGAUUUGAAAACGUUGACUCCCAAAUAUCCUGGUAUUUAACAUGGAUUUGAGUCUUUGUUGUUACUUGUUGACACUAGGCAUUGCUAGCAGAAUUAUAAUUUUAUGGAGGUCAUUUUAGGGUAAAAUAGGAUUAACUAUGGUUGCACCACGUUAGCUCUUUGGAGUCAAGGUACGCAUUACAUAAAUUCUGCCACACACAUAACUAUGGUUGCACCUCAGGAACGUGACAAGCUAUUUUGAUUCAGCUAAGCAGCUUGUGAAUGGGAUUCCCUUGCCACUAGAUCUUGGAUCCAACAUUGAUGAUGUAAAAGUGAAAGUCACCACGGCUGCUGAUUCUCUCUCCAAGAAGGCUAAAGAAAAUUCAAGGAUGAUACACAAAGUCAUAGAUGGAGUGAGACUGGCUCUUGUUACUGUUGCUGUUGUUAUGAUCUUUGUUGCAUUUCUCGGAUUGUUAUUUUCUUUACUUGCUUUGUCGUGUCCUGUAUACUCCUUGGUGGUUAUUGGAUGGAUUCUUGUUACAGGCACCUUGUUACUUUGUGCUGCAUUUCUAUUUGUCCCUAAGUAAGUUCCUAUAUAUUGCUUGGAGUCAAUUGUUCAACUUCAUGAAAUCAAUACAAAGCUUGUAAUGGAUAGAUAAUUGGAUCGAAUUAAUGAAUUCAUUAACUAAUGUUACACUUGCAUAUAUGCAUAUGUAUAUUUUUGAACUAAAAAAUAGUAGUAAUGUAUAAGAUCAUAGGGCAGAGUAAUUGGUGUGUUGGGUUGGAGUUAGCUGGAGCUGGGUUUCUUGUGUGGUGUGUUGGUGUUAUGGCUGAGGGAUGAAGAAAGAUAAGGUGUCUCUCCGACUCCGAAUAAUGGGAAGAAGCUAAAGGACGAAAGCGAUUUUUGACGAAUUGGCUGUAAAUGUCCAUUACAUGGAAUGCUUUGGUUCCUUUGCUCCCAUAAGAGGUUUGACUGAAGAUGGGAGCCAAGCCCAAUGGUUUGUAGAUGGACAGGCAACAUUUGAAGCAAUUGCGACUUCAAUUCAAGAUGCAAAAUCUUCAUUACGGGUUGGUGGUUGUGCCUAGAGCUAUAUCUGAGACGGCCUUUUGAUAGCUUUUCUACCUCUCGGUUAGAUUCGUUACUAGAAGAAAAGGCUAACCAAGGGGUUCAAAUCUAUGUGCUUCUCUACAAGGAGGUUUCUCUAGCUUUAAAAAUCAACAGCUUGUACAAUAUGAGAAGACUGUUAAAAAUUCAUGAGAAUGUGAGGGUAUUACGCUAUCCUGAUCAUUUUGCUGCUCGUGUGUUGCAAAUUUAAUUUCACAGGGUUCAAUUCUAGGUGUUGAGGUCCACGUUUCUAGAAAAUCAUAUUCUACUCAACUGGUUGUCAUGGAAGAUGAGAAUGGGAACCAAAAUUCUGCGCCACCUCAAAACGAAGGGUUUCUCAUCCCGAAUGUAUUUACUUUA
Molecule: long non-coding RNA, 1810 nt
Organism: Glycine soja
Lineage: Eukaryota; Viridiplantae; Streptophyta; Magnoliopsida; Fabales; Fabaceae
Exons: 7
Source: RefSeq, a predicted model, not a curated record